Molecule: ribosomal RNA, 207 nt
Filed under: uncultured bacterium
Lineage: Bacteria
Description: partial 16S ribosomal RNA
Rfam family: Bacterial small subunit ribosomal RNA
Source: RNAcentral
CGUGUAGGUGGUUCUGUAAGUAGGGCGUGAAAGCUCCCGGCUCAACUGGGAGAGGCCGUUCUAAACUGCAGAGCUAGAGGAUGGUAGAGGGAGGUGGAAUUCCAGGUGUAGCGGUGAAAUGCGUAGAUAUAUGGAGGAACACCGGUGGCGAAAGCGGCUCUCUGGUCUGUAACUGACACUGAGGCUCGAAAGCGUGGGGAGCAAACA